Rana temporaria (common frog) is the source of this 445-nucleotide long non-coding RNA. RefSeq lists it as uncharacterized. NCBI's taxonomy places the organism in Eukaryota, Metazoa, Chordata, Amphibia, Anura, Ranidae. The record is from RefSeq and is a predicted model, not a curated record. The transcript has 2 exons.
GUUUAUAUCUCACUUUUUUUUUCAUUUGUUUUCUCUAUAUAUACCAACUGGACAGUAAUAUUUAAUUUCAUUCAAAACAAUACUAUCGCACACAGGAUGAAGAAGUUAUAAGUGAAAAGAAGCACUAUGGGGAUUCCAAACACGUCUGCCCAGUCGCAAUAAAGGACAACUUUAUUCUACAGCCAGGACUCCAGGAUAAUGCAGCUUUAUACAGAGAGAAGACAUACUACUGCUCAAGCCCUGAAGCAAGAAAUACAUUUCUACAGAAUCCUGAGAAUUAUGUUGUCCAUAAAGAACCAUUACAAGCACCACCCUUAAGAGUCCUCUUGAUUGGAACAGGUGGCACUGGGAAAACAGCUAAUGCAAGAUGGUUAGCCAACAAGCUAGGUAUGUUCCACAUCCAGUUUCAAGAACGCCUGCAAGAGAUCAUGCUGUCGAAGCUGGA